GACGAACGCUGGCGGCGUGCUUAACACAUGCCAGUCGAACGGUGAACCCCUUCGUAGGGGGUCAGUUGCGAACGGGUGCGUAACACGUGGACAACCUGCCCCCGCCCCUGAGAUAACUCCAAGAAAUUGGGACUAAUACCGGAUGUUCACCGCUUCCCCCAUGGGUGGGGGUGAGAAGGGUUUGCGGGUGGGGAUGGGCCCGCGGCGUAUCAGCUCGUUGGUGGGGUAGUGGCCUACCAAGGCGACGACGGGUAGCCGGCCUGAGAGGGUGACCGGCCACACUGGGACUGAGAUACGGCCCAGACUCCUACGGGAGGCAGCAGUGGGGAAUAUUGCGCAAUGGGCGGAAGCCUGACGCAGCGACGCCGCGUGGGGGAUGACGGCCUUCGGGUUGUAAACCUCUUUCGGCAGGGACGAAGCGUAAGUGACGGUAACUGGAGAAGAAGCACCGGCUAACUACGUG
Molecule: ribosomal RNA, 463 nt
Filed under: uncultured bacterium
Lineage: Bacteria
Description: partial 16S ribosomal RNA
Rfam family: Bacterial small subunit ribosomal RNA
Source: RNAcentral